CUCAAAGUUCCAGGCAUGGAAAUCGGUCCUGUUACUUUAACGCUGGAGAGAGAUGAGGGUUCCUUCUCUUGGGACAAUGGUCCAUUUGGCCCCCAGGCCCAUUGUUGGCCAAGAAAGGAUGAAGGAAUCGGGGUUCCGCCUCCUUCCCCAUGAGGGGAUUUGGAUGUGCAGAAGGGAAUGGAACUGCAGUCAGGUCAACCCUCAGCCACUCUGGAAGGACUGCAGUUAAAUCACGAAGACAACCCUCCUUCGAUUAUGAAGCAGCUGUGGAGUUUGGAUAACAAUGGAGGUGAAGCCUGACCCUGGAAACCAGUCAAGAUUCUCAGAGAUAAACUCUUGGGCAGCAAGAACACUGUCAAUGAAAAGAAACUGACCUUUCGCCUUCUGGAGUCACAGAAUUCCCACAAAUGCUGUGUCCUCAUCAGCUCUGGCAGGCCUCGCCACCACAG
RNAcentral lists this long non-coding RNA (449 nucleotides) under Equus caballus (horse). Its description in RNAcentral is "lncRNA (ENSECAG00000049954.1)". The record is from RNAcentral. Lineage: Eukaryota; Metazoa; Chordata; Mammalia; Perissodactyla; Equidae.